AGGUGUUAGUGUGGAAAAUUUUCUGAUUUUUGGUUGGGAAACAAAAAGGGCAAAAGAAAAAGAGAAGCCAUGGUCAAUUCCCCCAUUAAUUUGCCUUCUUCCUCACCUUUUAUGGCCAUUUGGCACUCAUGCAAUCAUCACUCUCUUCUUCUUCUUCAGUCAAAUCUAUUACCAAUCCUCACAAUUGCUUCUUCAAGUAAACAAAAUCAGAUUACUUACUUCACCAUCUUCCUCCCAACCACUGAUUUUAACUCCCAAAUUUCUACUAUAAAUAGCCAUGGAAACUCAACAUCAAGAACACACCAACAAUCUUCAUCCCCUCUUCUCUCUCUCUAAUCAGAAAUUCAGUCAAUAAUCGCCGGAAAAUUGUAACUAAAAGAAUAAAAAAAAAAAAAAAAAGAAAGUUAGAACAAAAAAAAAAAAAAAAAAAAAGAAAACCCCAAAUUCAUAAUCUCUCUCCUCUGGUUUCGCCUCCACAACCGGCCACCUGCGCCGCACCAGUCUCGGCCCCAUCUCGUCGUCACUCACCGGUCACCAGCCGCCGUCGGAGCUUCACCAAACCGCCAGCACUCCUCCUCCUCGCGCGCUCUCUCUCUCCUCGCGCUGUCUCUCUCGUCCCUCUUCUUCUUCGCGCGACGCCACUGCACGCGCAGCACCGCUGAGACCCAGCCACCACGCCACGCUGCCGUCGCUUCUCGCUGACCGCCGCUGCUGCUCGCCGUUCACCGGAGCCGACGUCCCACCUCUACCGGAAUUUUCGUCCUCCCUGCUCCUAGUAGCAGAGAUUAAGGAAGAUAAAGGAUAUUACAAGCCUCCCCCGGCUAUCAAGGUUAUUAAGCAGGAAUCCAGGUACCGAUGGUGAUAACGGGAUGGCGUAGCAGUGAGGAUUUAAUUAAUAUCUAGAUUAUCUAGACUCUCAUGGUUUUAAUUUAAGUUUAUGUCAAAACUCUGAUUAGUAACUAAGUUUCUAUUAAUCAAGACUAAUGUUGGAUCUAUAUUAUGCUUCAUGUUAUAAAUGUUUAAGUUUAUGAUUU
Beta vulgaris subsp. vulgaris (sugar beet) is the source of this 1034-nucleotide long non-coding RNA. RefSeq lists it as uncharacterized. Lineage: Eukaryota; Viridiplantae; Streptophyta; Magnoliopsida; Caryophyllales; Amaranthaceae. The transcript is spliced from 3 exons. The record is from RefSeq and is a predicted model, not a curated record.